UACGGGAGGCAGCAGUGGGGAAUAUUGCACAAUGGGCGCAAGCCUGAUGCAGCCAUGCCGCGUGUAUGAAGAAGGCCUUCGGGUUGUAAAGUACUUUCAGUCGUGAGGAAGGUGUUAAGGUUAAUAACCUUAGCAAUUGACGUUAGCGACAGAAGAAGCACCGGCUAACUCCGUGCCAGCAGCCGCGGUAAUACGGAGGGUGCGAGCGUUAAUCGGAAUUACUGGGCGUAAAGGGCACGCAGGCGGUUAAUUAAGUUGGAUGUGAAAUCCCCGGGCUUAACCUGGGAAUGGCAUUCAAGACUGGUUAGCUAGAGUCUUGUAGAGGGGGUAGAAUUCCGAUGUGUAGCGGCGAAAUGCGUAGAGAUGUGGAGGAAUACCGGUGGCGAAGGCGGCCCCUGGACAAAGACUGACGCUCAUGUGCGAAAGCGUGGGGAGCAAACAGGGAUUAGAUACC
RNAcentral lists this ribosomal RNA (454 nucleotides) under uncultured bacterium. RNAcentral describes it as "bacterial SSU rRNA". It matches the Rfam family "Bacterial small subunit ribosomal RNA", at positions 340 to 786 of the family's 1533-position model. The record is from RNAcentral.